UAGUCCACGCCGUAAACGAUGGUUACUAGCUGUUCGGACUUCGGUCUGAGUGGCUAAGCGAAAGUGAUAAGUAACCCACCUGGGGAGUACGUUCGCAAGAAUGAAACUCAAAGGAAUUGACGGGGGCCCGCACAAGCGGUGGAGCAUGUGGUUUAAUUCGAUGAUACGCGAGGAACCUUACCAGGGCUUAAAUGUAGUCUGACAGCUUUAGAGAUAGAGUUUUCUUCGGACAGAUUACAAGGUGCUGCAUGGUUGUCGUCAGCUCGUGCCGUGAGGUGUCAGGUUAAGUCCUAUAACGAGCGCAACCCCUGUUGUUAGUUGCCAGCGAGUAAUGUCGGGAACUCUAGCAAGACUGCCGGUGCAAACCGCGAGGAAGGUGGGGAUGACGUCAAAUCAUCAUGGCCUUUAUGCCUGGGGCUACACACGUGCUACAAUGGUACCGACAAAGGGUCGCAAACUCGUGAGAGCUAGCCAAUCCCAAAAACGGUAUCUCAGUUCGGA
This 501-nucleotide ribosomal RNA is filed under the name uncultured bacterium. RNAcentral describes it as "bacterial SSU rRNA". It matches the Rfam family "Bacterial small subunit ribosomal RNA", at positions 791 to 1297 of the family's 1533-position model. The record is from RNAcentral.